CUACGGGGGGCUCCAGUGAGGAAUUUUGCGCAAUGGGCGAAAGCCUGACGCAGCAACGCCGCGUGAGUGAUGAAGGCCUUCGGGUCGUAAAGCUCUGUCAAGUGGGAAGAACCUAUGUAAUGUUAAUAUCAUUAUAUACUGACGGUACCACUGAAGGAAGCACCGGCUAACUCCGUGCCAGCAGCCGCGGUAAUACGGGGGGUGCAAGCGUUAUUCGGAAUCAUUGGGCGUAAAGGGCACGUAGGCGGCCUGGUAAGUCAGAUGUGAAAGCCCGGGGCUUAACCCCGGAAGUGCAUUUGUACUGGCAGGCUUGAGUAUGGGAGAGGGAAGUGGAAUUCCUGGUGUAGAGGUGAAAUUCGUAGAUAUCAGGAGGAACACCGGUGGCGAAGGCGACUUCCUGGACCAAUACUGACGCUGAGGUGCGAAGGCGUGGGUAGCAAACAGGAUUAGAUACCCCAGUAGUC
Molecule: ribosomal RNA, 464 nt
Filed under: uncultured bacterium
Lineage: Bacteria
Description: partial 16S ribosomal RNA
Rfam family: Bacterial small subunit ribosomal RNA
Source: RNAcentral